This 1192-nucleotide unclassified non-coding RNA is filed under the name Hevea brasiliensis (rubber tree). Lineage: Eukaryota; Viridiplantae; Streptophyta; Magnoliopsida; Malpighiales; Euphorbiaceae. The record is from RNAcentral.
UAUUAUUAUUAUUAUUAUUAUUUCUUUAAGUUGCAGUAGCUCACAUUGUUAAGCCCAGGUACUGAUUUGCUAAACAUUGGGAGAAAUCAUCUAUUUAUUUUGUUUCAUCCUCGCACUGAAUGGCAGCUUUAUGCUUCUCAUCAUGAUCGCUAACUUGAAUAGGAUUACUAUAAGUAUUAGAAGAAUAUGGUCAUUGGAUUGCAUAAUCACGGAAACCAUCCUUUAACCCUUUCUCCUUUGUAGAGGCAGGUGAAGAGAGAAGGGGGAUUGAAAUGCAAACGUGACCACACAUUACCGUAAUUCGACUAUUUUGGCAAAUGUGUAAGCUUGAGUAUCUAGAAACUAUAACCAUUGGCUCUGCUUUCAAUGAUGUUCAAAAAUUCAGAAUGUUCAACAGGCAAUAAGAGGUUACAGAGUCCUGGAAUUAUGCUCUACCUCUUCAUGAAUAUAUUGUCUUAAUUAUAUUUGGUGCAUAGCACUUGUCAAUUUUAUUUCUAUGUCCAAACUGGCUGAUCAUGUAAGAAGAUUUGGUACUAUUCCUCCUGUUAGAUUGACAAAAUAUCUGACUACUAGACUCUAAUAUUUUAGCCUUGCAGAAAAUAUUCAUUAAAAAAGGACCAGAUUUAUAUGUUUGAAAUGGGAGAUUAUCAGACACUCCUUGUGAAUUGCACCUUCACUCACACACAUGGGAUCCAUCCCACAAUUCACAUGGUCCCCACACGUAAAUGUUGCGAAGUGCAAGCAUUUGUAGAGAAGGGUGCAUUAUUUUUGUUUACUUACUCACACCAGUAUUGACUUCUGGAAAUGCAAGGUGUAACUGGUAAGUGUAUAGGGUGCAUUAUUUUGGUUGAGAUUGACUUACGGGUCAUCAUUAUUUGAGUGCUUGGUUGUUGAUUGUCCUCAGUGAUGAGUUUAUCAUUCUUUCAUCAUUGAGUUGUUUUCAAAAUUAAAAAAAAAAAAAAAAUCUCUGGUGGGUAUGCAGAUAAGAGAAAGAAAUUAAAAUCUUGAUUCUUGAACUUUUUCAAGAAAACAAAAGUAAGGUGCAGGUGCAAAUGCAGAUAAAGGCAACAUAUUGGCCGCAUUUGCUCAGAGCUAGCUGCAAGAUUAAGAAGCCAUUGAUCAAUCUGAACAACAGAAGGAAAGAUUUAUAGGAGAAAGAAAAAGAGAAAGAGAAAGAGAAAGGAGAGUAGAA